Sebastes umbrosus (honeycomb rockfish) is the source of this 163-nucleotide small nuclear RNA. RefSeq annotates it as U1 spliceosomal RNA. NCBI's taxonomy places the organism in Eukaryota, Metazoa, Chordata, Actinopteri, Perciformes, Sebastidae. The record is from RefSeq and is a predicted model, not a curated record. The transcript has a single exon.
AUACUUACCUGGCAGGGGAGACACUAUGAUCAUGAAGGUGGAUCACCCAUGGUGAGGCUAAGCCAUUGCACUGAGGCGAGCUGACCCGUGCGAAUUCCCCACAUGCGGGAAUCUCGACUGCAAAAUUUGUGAUACUGGGGGACUGCGUCCGCGCUCUCCCCUG